UACGAAGGGUGCUAGCGUUGUUCGGAAUCACUGGGCGUAAAGGGUGCGUAGGCGGCUAAACAAGUCAGAGGUGAAAGCCUGGAGCUUAACUCCAGAACUGCCUUUGAGACUGUUUGGCUAGAGUGUCGGAGGGGAUAGCGGAAUUGCUAAUGUAGCGGUGAAAUGCGUAGAUAUUAGCAGGAACACCGGUGGCGAAGGCGGCUAUCUGGACGACAACUGACGCUGAGGCACGAAAGCGUGGGGAUCAAACAGG
Molecule: ribosomal RNA, 253 nt
Filed under: uncultured bacterium
Lineage: Bacteria
Description: partial 16S ribosomal RNA
Rfam family: Bacterial small subunit ribosomal RNA
Source: RNAcentral